CCACUCCCCAGCCCCACCCCACCCCCACUGUCUUUGGACUAGCGGAAACCCGGCUAGGAAAAGAAGGGUUCGCUGGUUCUGGCUGCAUGAGAAGCAGCAGCAGCUGCCUGCACUGGGUCCCCGGUCCAGGCCAGGCAGGGCAUGCGGGAAGAAGGCUCUGGCGAUCAGACCAGGAAGAAUCUGGUCAAAGCCUUGGACCUCCACCCUAAAAAAAUACAUAUGUUCAUAACAGUUUAUUUAUAACUUUAAGAGGUCCCAGGACCCCAAAUCCAGGCUCAGAACACUCAUAUAAAGCAGAAGGAUUUUGAAGGUCAGUGAAGACUGGUUCCUCAAGAGCCUUGUCUUCUCACACUCACUCCGGCAGCAGUAACACCCCUCUACAAGAAGGGACGAUUUCCGCCAAGCACAGUGUACACCCGUUUCAUAGAUUUAACCUCACCUCUGGCCAGGUUCUCGAUAUCCUUCUCCACUAGUUGAGUUCCUGUGACAUCUAGGGUGAGCCCAUCUUCGCCUGGGAUACAAGGGCAGGCAAUAAACCGAGUUUCAAGGAGAGGCAAAGAAACCGUGACCCGGAUACGGCCAGAGCUGCCGCGGUCGGGGCGCCGGAGCCCUAAUUAAAAGCGUCGUGGCCGCCGCUGGUUCCCGGCUGUGCGCCUGGGCUCGCACCCUCAGGCUUUGGGCCGGGCACCACCUCCCCCGCGCGCGAUCUGCUCAUCUCCGGCUCCUCGCCCCCUCCCCAGCCCCUUGGAAAAGAGCAAAACGAGCAGCCGAGCCCACCAGGGACAAGCGACCUACAUCGCGCGCAGAUACUGGGGCACCGCGAGCGCGCGUGGCCGCCGGGUCUACCUGCUCCGAGAACGCGGCCCAGGAGGCGACACGCGGGGUGGCGACAGCGGGGGAAACAUCGUACCGGGCUCAGGCUGCCCGGAUUUCCGAGGCCCUCAGUUCAUUCUCUGAGAGUCAAUGGGUCCCGCUCGCACCUCCGCGUUGGGCUGCUGCUACCGCGCACUUCAGGGGUCCCUAUGCGCGUGGCCAAGCGCCCCCACCUUCCUCCCGGACCUCUCGACCCAAACACUUGCUGAAUAAAUGAGAGAAUUUGAAA
This is a long non-coding RNA of Bubalus bubalis (water buffalo), 1102 nucleotides long. RefSeq lists it as uncharacterized. Lineage: Eukaryota; Metazoa; Chordata; Mammalia; Artiodactyla; Bovidae. The record is from RefSeq and is a predicted model, not a curated record. The transcript is spliced from 4 exons.